AGGGCUGUAGCUCAGUUGGUCGAGCACUUGCCUGGCAUGCAAGAGGUUGUGGCUUCCACUUCUG
RNAcentral lists this transfer RNA (64 nucleotides) under Mus musculus (house mouse). It matches the Rfam family "tRNA", at positions 1 to 62 of the family's 71-position model. From Rfam's summary of the family: Transfer RNA (tRNA) molecules are approximately 80 nucleotides in length. Their secondary structure includes four short double-helical elements and three loops (D, anti-codon, and T loops). The record is from Rfam by way of RNAcentral. Lineage: Eukaryota; Metazoa; Chordata; Mammalia; Rodentia; Muridae.